RNAcentral lists this ribosomal RNA (254 nucleotides) under uncultured bacterium. RNAcentral describes it as "partial 16S ribosomal RNA". It matches the Rfam family "Bacterial small subunit ribosomal RNA", at positions 524 to 776 of the family's 1533-position model. The record is from RNAcentral.
UACGUAGGGUGCGAGCGUUGUCCGGAAUUAUUGGGCGUAAAGAGCUCGUAGGCGGUGUGUCACGUCGAUCGUGAAAACUUUCAGCUUAACUGGGAGCUUGCGGUCGAUACGGGCAUCACUGGAGUUCGGCAGGGGAGACUGGAAUUCAAGGUGUAGCGGUGAAAUGCGCAGAUAUCUCGAGGAACACCGGUGGCGAAGGCGGGUCUCUGGGCCGAUACUGACGCUGAGGAGCGAAAGCGUGGGGAGCGAACAGG